GAGCCGGAGCAAACGCGUUAAGCGUGCCGCCUGGGAAGUACGGUCGCAAGACUAAAACUCAAAGAAAUUGACGGGGACCCGCACAAGCGGUGGAGUAUGUGGCUUAAUUCGAUGCAACGCGAAGAACCUUACCUAGGCUUGACAUGCAUUUCUAAGUCGGUGAAAGCCGAUGACUCUUCGGAGGACUUGCACAGGUGCUGCAUGGCCGUCGUCAGCUCGUGUCGUGAGAUGUUGGGUUAAGUCCCGCAACGAGCGCAACCCCUGUGAUUAGUUACCAGCGCGUUAUGGCGGGGACUCUAAUCAGACUGCCCAGAUCAACUGGGAGGAAGGUGGGGACGACGUCAGGUCAGUAUGGCCCUUACGCCUAGGGCUGCACACGUACUACAAUGCCCAGCACAAUGAGAACCGAGACCGCGAGGUGGAGGAAAUCUACAAAACUGGGCUCAGUUCGGAUUGGAGGCUGCAACUCGCCUCCAUGAAGCUGGAAUCGCUAGUAAUGGCACAUCAGCUACGGUGCCGUGAAUACGUUCCCGGGUCUUGUACACACCGCCCGUCACAUCAUGGAAGUCGGUCGCACCCGAAGUGCCUGCGCCAACCGCAAGGAGGCAGGGCCCUAAGGUGUAGCUGGUAACUGGGAUGAAGUCGUAACAAGGUAACCAAU
RNAcentral lists this ribosomal RNA (661 nucleotides) under uncultured bacterium. Its description in RNAcentral is "bacterial SSU rRNA". It matches the Rfam family "Bacterial small subunit ribosomal RNA", at positions 843 to 1504 of the family's 1533-position model. The record is from RNAcentral.